RNAcentral lists this ribosomal RNA (97 nucleotides) under Mugil cephalus (flathead mullet). The record is from RNAcentral. Lineage: Eukaryota; Metazoa; Chordata; Actinopteri; Mugiliformes; Mugilidae.
UACGCCCGAUCUCGUCCGAUCUCGGAAGCUAAGCACGGUCGGGCCUGGUUAGUACUUGGAUCGGAGACCGCCUGGGAAUACUAGGUGCUGUAAGUUU